RNAcentral lists this transfer RNA (73 nucleotides) under Zootermopsis nevadensis. It matches the Rfam family "tRNA". From Rfam's summary of the family: Transfer RNA (tRNA) molecules are approximately 80 nucleotides in length. Lineage: Eukaryota; Metazoa; Arthropoda; Insecta; Blattodea; Termopsidae. The record is from Rfam by way of RNAcentral.
GCCACGGUGGUCUAGCGGAUAGAACGCUGGCCUUGUAAUCCUGGGGUCUCGGGUUCGAUUCCCGGCUGUGCCC